RNAcentral lists this ribosomal RNA (253 nucleotides) under uncultured bacterium. RNAcentral's name for it is "partial 16S ribosomal RNA". It matches the Rfam family "Bacterial small subunit ribosomal RNA", at positions 524 to 776 of the family's 1533-position model. The record is from RNAcentral.
UACGGAGGGUGCAAGCGUUAUCCGGAUUCACUGGGUUAAAGGGUGCGUAGGUGGGUUGGUAAGUCAGUGGUGAAAUCCCCGAGCUUAACUUGGGGAACUGCCAUUGAUACUACUGAUCUUGAAUUUUCUGGAGGUAAGCGGAAUAUGUCAUGUAGCGGUGAAAUGCUUAGAUAUGACAUAGAACACCAAUUGCGAAGGCAGCUUGCUACAGGGAUAUUGACACUGAGGCACGAAAGCGUGGGGAUCAAACAGG